UUCAAGGCCACCCUACUUCCAGGACAGCAAGAACUACACAGAGAAACCCUGGCUCAAAAAAACAAAAAUGAAUAAAAUAAACCAACCAUCAAUAAAGCUAAAGAUUUACUAGAUGGUCAGGCUAAAAACAAAGUAAUUGUGUUGUUAAUUUAGCUUAAGUAAGUCUAUGUGUGUGGGCACCAAUAUUUGUAAUAAAAUACCUCAGAACUACAAGGAAGGAGGCGAUUAACAGCAACAGGAAGGGUAGUGUCACACUGGUCAGCAGGAAUUGCCAUUGUGAUAUUUAUAGACAGCAGACGAGGUGACAUAUGGAUGAAUGAGAUUCCAGCCAGGGGCAUUGAAGGCAAAGCCUCAGGGCUCAGGCCUUUUUACUAUGCCUAGUGCUAUGGACCUUCAGGCCUCCUAAGCAGAGGAAAAGGCCUGGACCAUCAUUCACAUCUCACGGGGGAGGGGACCAGAGCCAGGGGAAGAGGGGUUGUGCAGCCUCAUGGUGAGAUCCAGUCCACCACUCCUGCUGUAGCCACACAUCUCCCACCUCCACGGAGGGCCAUUUCAACCCUUGAGUGACAUAGCUUCUAUCCGUUUUAAUUUAUUCUCUUGCAUCCCACACCACUCUGAGUCCUUUGGUCAAGUGCAUCCAUUCAAGACGCCCCCACCCCCACCCCCCAGCAUUCCUGUCUAGCAGAAGCAAGGAAGCCUCAAGCUCCUUCCAGUACGCUAUGUGAACUCAACCCUGCAAGGCAGAUCAGAGGCACUGCUGCAAGAUCUAGCUUUUAGUUCAGCCCUCUCACUGUGCAUGGAAGAGACCCCACUUCUUGCAACCCAAGCACAGCCUGUCUGCAUAGCUCCCUCCCACAACAGGAGGUUCACAUUUCCAGAGAGACAGAUGGGGCUCAGGUAGGCAGAACACCUGUGUGUGAGCCUGUGUCCUGUCUCAUCAUGUCUAAGUUGCCUGUAGUUUGACCAGAGUAUACUAGAAGCCAGCCAUUUCUUAGGGAGAUUGGCACCAACCUCAUGGAAUGUUCAGGAAGUUCCCAGCUCUGCUCUUAAAACCAAGCCCAAUGUGGUCCUCAGUAAGAUGUUGCAAGUUCCUAAACUGGACACAGAGGCCAAGAGCUGUGUGGCCUGGAAAUUAGAGCUGGCUAUUACCCAUCAACACAGACACCCUGAGUCAGCCUUCCUCUUCCCUCUGCUAAGGUUGUCAGAGCCUCAGCAAUGCUCCUGCCCUAGGGAAGCCCAGCUGCCACCUCUCUGAGUGACUUAAUAGCUGUGCCCAUGGAAUUUAAAGGAGUGCCUCGGAUCCCCUGGAACUGGAGUUAUAAGCAGUCAAACCUGGGCCCUCUGCAGGAGUAGGAAAUGCUCUUACCUGCUGAGCCAUCUUUCGAGCUCUGACUUGAGGCAUCUCAGUGGCUUGGCUUCUUCAGUAUAUUUGAAACUUCUGGUGCCUGGAUCUCUCCCUGACCCCAAAGAUUCCAAAGAGAUUGAUGUGAGUUAAAAUAAAUAAAUACAAAGUUUGUAUUAAAGGAUGACAUAAACAACAACAAAAAAGCACAAGGCA
Molecule: non-coding RNA, 1558 nt
Organism: Cricetulus griseus (Chinese hamster)
Lineage: Eukaryota; Metazoa; Chordata; Mammalia; Rodentia; Cricetidae
Source: RefSeq, a predicted model, not a curated record